This 424-nucleotide ribosomal RNA is filed under the name uncultured cyanobacterium. RNAcentral's name for it is "bacterial SSU rRNA". It matches the Rfam family "Bacterial small subunit ribosomal RNA", at positions 357 to 796 of the family's 1533-position model. Lineage: Bacteria; Bacillati; Cyanobacteriota. The record is from RNAcentral.
GGGAAUUUUCCGCAAUGGGCGAAAGCCUGACGGAGCAACGCCGCGUGAGGGAUGAAGGCCUCUGGGCUGUAAACCUCUUUUCUCAAGGAAGAAGACCUGACGGUACUUGAGGAAUAAGCCACGGCUAAUUCCGUGCCAGCAGCCGCGGUAAUACGGGAGUGGCAAGCGUUAUCCGGAAUUAUUGGGCGUAAAGCGUCCGCAGGCGGCCUUGUAAGUCUGUUGUUAAAGCGUGGAGCUCAACUCCAUUUGAGCAAUGGAAACUUCAAGACUAGAGUGUGGUAGGGGCAGAGGGAAUUCCCGGUGUAGCGGUGAAAUGCGUAGAUAUCGGGAAGAACACCAGUGGCGAAGGCGCUCUGCUGGGCCAUAACUGACGCUCAUGGACGAAAGCCAGGGGGGCGAAAGGGAUUAGAUACCCCUGUAGUCA